GACGAACGCUGGCGGCGUGCUUAACACAUGCAAGUCGAACGGAAAGGCCCUGCUUUUGUGGGGUGCUCGAGUGGCGAACGGGUGAGUAACACGUGAGCAACCUGCCCUUGACUUUGGGAUAACUUCAGGAAACUGGGGCUAAUACCGGAUAGGAGCUCCUGCUGCAUGGUGGGGGUUGGAAAGUUUCGGCGGUUGGGGAUGGACUCGCGGCUUAUCAGCUUGUUGGUGGGGUAGUGGCUUACCAAGGCUUUGACGGGUAGCCGGCCUGAGAGGGUGACCGGCCACAUUGGGACUGAGAUACGGCCCAGACUCCUACGGGAGGCAGCAGUGGGGAAUAUUGCACAAUGGGCGGAGGCCUGAUGCAGCAACGCCGCGUGCGGGAUGACGGCCUUCGGGUUGUAAACCGCUUUCGCCUGUGACGAAGCGUGAGUGACGGUAAUGGGUAAAGAAGCACCGGCUAACUACGUG
This 468-nucleotide ribosomal RNA is filed under the name uncultured bacterium. RNAcentral describes it as "partial 16S ribosomal RNA". It matches the Rfam family "Bacterial small subunit ribosomal RNA", at positions 28 to 507 of the family's 1533-position model. The record is from RNAcentral.